ACAAUGAACAAUUUUUUGGUCUUCCUUCUUGCAGGCAUUGUUAAACCAAAUUGUACUAGGUCCAACUGUAAUUGCUGUUGUUUUUGCAUGGAACAAUUUAUGGCAAGGGAAACUUGCGGAACUUCCAAAUAAAUACAAAAUGGAUGCCCUUCCUUCCCUAUUUUUUGGUGAAGUCCUUGAAUUUUAAUCCCAUUCCGUAUUUACAUUUUACUGAAGUCUAAUUGUUAUUGUUUUUAUUAUUAUGUCUCCAGGGUUUCGAUUCUGGAUUCCUGCUAGCAUAUUGAAACAGUUUGUGAAGGUUCUUAAGAUCUUUACAUGGCGUUUUAGUGCCGUCUGUGGAUCGUCACUUGGAAAAAUACCAGCUCAUUAUUUGACCUCUGCCGCUGCACAGUAGAUUCAAUCUUUUUCAGUUUUUAUUUCUUCCAUUGCGGAGUUGUAUCGUCACUUAAAGCCUGCACUCUUCAAAAUUUCAAACAUAAUUAUUAAUUACUGACAAUUUCAAACAGUGUUUAUAUUUUUGGUGCAAUAUGUAAUUGGCUCUUAAAGAUAGUUGUGUUCAUGUAAGGGUGUAGAAGAGUUUGACGAAGUGUGAUCCCUUUUCUAAUUUGAGGAAGAUGGACGGAUCAU
RNAcentral lists this long non-coding RNA (627 nucleotides) under Olea europaea subsp. europaea. Lineage: Eukaryota; Viridiplantae; Streptophyta; Magnoliopsida; Lamiales; Oleaceae. The record is from RNAcentral.